AUGCACGUAGCUGGGAGCAGGAUGCUCUCGUCUGUGUGCAGCCUGGAUGUAAGAGAUCCUCAGCCACGUGCAGAUGGCACAGUGGACACUAAGAGACAUCACACACGGUGUGGUCCCACUGUUCCCCCACUCUGUGCCCAUUCCUCACCUCUCAAUGUGCUCAGGCUGUUCUCCCAGGGCUGCUGCUGCACAGCGUAUGCCAGCAUGCCACCUCUUGCCAAGAAGCUUAUCUGGCACAAGAAAUCACAUCUGUUCAUCCUCCCUUGCUGUCCUUGCAGCCACAGGGAGGUGGUGGUGCUCGGUGUACUUUCGGUGCUGGCUCCUGCUCCAUGGGGAUUUGGAAGGCCUCUGCGUGCUGCGGGGGCUGCCGGCCUACUGCAGAAUGCUGCCCGUCUGCUCCCACUGCAGCUCCCUGAGUGCUGGCUGCCCUACAGAUCCCCACUCUGGUGUUCUCCCCACCUGCAGGGUGGCAGGGGCUCAGAGGGGAUCAGAGCCCACCUGGAGAGCCUGUGUUAUUUUUGUGUGACGGCUGCUGCCAACAGCAUCCAUUGCCAUGAUGGCACUGCUAGGAUCAGCCCCCCCUGCCUGCACCUUUGGUUCCUGUCCUGUUCCUGAAAGGAGGUAAAUGUUCUCAUGGUGAUCUCAGGACAGUCUCACCACAGGGAAAAUCUGGAGCUCCAGGCUGCUCCAGUCCCACGCUGCAGCAGCUGUUUCCCUGGGAUGUUGCACAACGCCCGAUUUCUCUGCGUAUUACUUGGUAUUUUCAGUUCUGCAUCAUCUUUGGCGAGCUCAGUGCAUUCUCUGAGCUCUGAAGCAGCCGAGGACAAACCUCAGGGCCUCGGGACACAGGAUGGGACCAGAGGCUGCCCUGCCCGGCAGCACUGCCAACACAGUUCCAGGACCUCGCUGCUGUGUGAGUCCCUGGGAGGCAACGGGUGCCCAGCCAAGGGCUGGAGUGUGGGAGCUGAGGAGACAAAACACAGCCGCCAAUGUUUGUUCUGAAACCUGCCCAGAAUUUCAUUGGCCUCAAUGAAGCUGAGGAUUAUUUUCCUUAAGUAUUUUUAAACCUGGAGCCUGGCAAGGGCCAGAGGGCUGGGAUUUCCUGGCCCGGGUGGAUGAGAGGAGCCUACUCCUUCCGUGCCAUAUGGGAAGUGCUGGCUACCUGCACGGGGUGAGCAAGGGUGGCCAGGCUGGCAGGAGCCUUGGGAAGGAAGGCACCUGCGGGAGGAAAGCACUGCAGGAGGAAAGCACUGCAGGAGGAAUGCACCUGCAGCCCUGGGCCCCCGUGCCAGCAGCAGGGCUGGUUCUGUCCUCUCUGCCAGAUGGGAUCAGGGCUGCCCUGUGCCCGUGUGACAGCCAGGAGGGGAAGGCAGCAGCCGAGGGGUCAGGGACGUGCUCAUUUCCCCCACACUGGUCAAGGGGAUGCAGAACUUUAUGGGCACCCAAGCAGGGCAGCUCUGGAGCUGCUGGAGACACAUUCACACCCAUGGACUGAGAGUGGCCCGGCUUCUGAGGCUGAGUGAGGCCAUGGGGACUCAGCACAGACUUUGCUCUGUGUCUGUUCCCUGCCAGCCCACCCGGGUGCCCCAGUGUGGCUCACUGGCAGCACCAUGGCAGCAGCCGGGUGUGGGGUGGAGCAGCUCUGUCUCAGCACCCCACUGCUCACCCCUGGCUGUGUGGGUGUGAGCAAUGGAAGGAAAGCCCCCACCGUGCUGGCAGCUCCCUCGGUUGUGCGUAUCAGCAAUGCUCUCCUGGCCUUCCCCUUGCUGGCAGGGUUUGGCAGUGGGACAGCCACAUUUUGCUUCCAUUCAGCAUGGGUGAGCACACGACCUAUUGUGUGCAUGUGUAAAUACACAGAUGUGUUGCUUGUUCCAUAAACCCUACUUGUUCCUUUCCCAAAGAUCCAGGAUGGACAAUGUCAGGAAAGCCUCCAUCCUCCAGCUUUGUUCAACUGCGUGUACUGGGAGGAAAAUUCCCUGCAGAGGAGCUCCCAGCACCGUGUGCUGCAUGCAUGGCAGCUGCUGGUGUGCCCAACCCUGGGGCUGCUGGGAUGAGUGAGCAGGGCUGGUGCUCAUGGGGGGAGAGGUGGGGCUCUGUGCUGAGUGCUUGUCCUCAGGGCCGGCACCUUCUGAAGCAGGUCGGGCCCUUUCCCUGUGCACACACAGGCUCAAGUCCAGCACCGCCAAAGUACACUGAGUGCUGGAGGAAGUCCUGGCCCCAUGCAGCUGACGGGACUUUGCCUUUUGCUUCAGCAAAAGGGCUGCAGGUGACUCUUAGCCCUGCUGUGAGGCCGUCCCGCUGCUCCCCGCAUGCUCUGAGAUCCCCUGCUCAGCUGCACUCCUGCAGACGCUCCCACAAUAACAGUGCUGCUGUCUGAGAUAGCGCAGCGCUGACACGGGCAGACAGCACAGCAGCACAGCCUGAGAUUGCACCCCUUGUAAACACUGCCAAGCACCCAUGAAAACCGUCGCUUGCUGCCCCAUUCGGCCCCACGUUCUUCGUGUGCUCCUUGUGUUUGCUGAGCGUAACUCCUGCGGUUGAGCUGUGAAGGCAGAGAAGUUACGCAAAGCAAUCUGAUGACUCUGAUGGACAAGCCAGAACUGCUUUCUCACCUGAGGGUGUCCCAUAAAAUGUCUUUUGACCCAGUCACAGCCGCACAGCAGCCCGUGGCAGGAAUCUGGCCGUGUGCAUGCAUGUGCUGGCCCCACAGAGAUGCAGAAGAAGAUCCUUGAACAACCGCAGCCGCCAUCCGAACAGAUCCCAGAUAUCCCAUAAACAGACAGGGGUAAAUGUGCCCCACAAGCUGCCCAUUCUGCGUUAUCGUCCCACUCUAAUAACAGCUGAUAAGCUGUGGAUCAACAAACAUUGCUGCUACUCCCCAAGCCCCACUUCAGGAUAAAGAAAGCCUGCCUUCUUUCUAAGCAGGUCGUGCUCCCUCUUGGGAUGAAGACACUGCUACCCUUUCCCUGGUUUACAGGCUAAAGAGGACAAAGUGUAUUAACAGGUACAAAAAAAGCCAGAGAAACUGGAGCAGGAGCAGCAAGAGACAUGUCAGACACACUCCCAUUAGCUUCCCUUCCAAUGUGCAUUUAACAGAUAAUUCGUUAUCAUCACAGUCCAAAGUUAACCUGCUGGAAAUCUGCUGUGGGAGAGCUGGCUGCAGCUGCAGCGUUUCAGCUGGGCAUAAACAAACCAAAAAACACAGCAGAAGCUUGUUUUUGAUUAAACCCACUGCUGCCAGGCACAAAUACGUAUUUUGUGGGUGGAAGUUCAUUGGGGCACAAGCACCAAAGAUCGUCCCUCCCCCACUGAAACAUAGACUUUGUGCCCCGCGCUGCACGUCCCCAUCCCACACCGAGGGCCCGGGAGGAGCAGGAAGCAGUUGGGAUUCGGCUGCACCUCCUGCAGCAGGAAGCUGCUGCUCAGCCUGGUUCUGCCCCAGCUCGCUGCUGUUCCUGCACACCUCCCAUCCCUCUGUGAGGUUUCAGAAGAUGCUUCGGCACGAAGGCGCUGGGCAGAUCCCCGCGUGGGCACCGCAGGGCUGUGCGUGCACGUGGCUGUGUAAUACCGUAACAAGAUUACCCCGGGACACGAUGGCUGCGAAAUAAUCCACGAUAUCACUCAGCAAAUCCCAGGAUCCAAUUACUGCUUUGCAUGACACCGUCCUGGAGUGGGGGGCCGAGCAACGCCGUCCAGCUCCGCUCCCCGUGCCCCGGUGUCACUCAGCAUUAGCACAUUUAGCCAUGUCCUGUGGAGUGCUGGCCUCACAG
Molecule: long non-coding RNA, 3770 nt
Organism: Meleagris gallopavo (turkey)
Lineage: Eukaryota; Metazoa; Chordata; Aves; Galliformes; Phasianidae
Source: Ensembl